CACCUCAUUGUGAGUUGGAACAUUAGUGAAGCAGCAACAGCAGCCUGCUAGACCAAGCCAAGAGGACAGAGCUGGCAUAGACAUGUGCUGGCUUGAGGAGCCUACAGACUCACCAGAAAGCAUAAGGAAUCAUUUUCAGGAGCUGCAUUGGGACUGAAAAGUAGGAACUUCUCAAUUGGUUAAAAUCUCUUCAGCACUUUGAAGAUUCAUUUACAAAGAAUAAUGGAUACCACACACAUACAAAGAAGGCAGCGUUCAUGUCUGGUACAUGAGAAGACAACCCACUGUGGACAGAAUAUUUGAAGAAACAAUUAGGGAAGGCUGAAAGAAGCUGAGAAGUAGGACUUCCCUGUAGGAAGACCAGCAGUCUCAAUUAACCUGGAUCCCCGAGAUCUCUCAAACACUGAACUACCAAACAGUCAGCAUAUAUGAACUGAUAUGAAGCCCCAACACACAUACAGUAGAAGACUGCCAUGCCAGGAGCCUAUGCCUGCAUUCCCUGACACUGGGUGAGUCACUCAUUCUACAAAACUACUCCCACCCCAACACUACUUUCUGGUCAGCCAUAAAGAUGCUUGUCAACCUCCAUUGCUGAGCCUGCCUGCUGUCUAGGACUCUUUUUCUAAGUGCCACCAAAAAUUCUGUAUUUCCCCUUCAGAGGACAAAGCUGUCUCUUGGAUGCCGUUUGAUUGUUUCUCUGGUGAGCUAAAGGUUUGGAAGAAUAUAAAAGAGAGAUGUAGAUUUCACAUAAAUUCCUCUCUCGGGAAAAGGUCAUUGAG
Molecule: long non-coding RNA, 779 nt
Organism: Mus musculus (house mouse)
Lineage: Eukaryota; Metazoa; Chordata; Mammalia; Rodentia; Muridae
Product: predicted gene, 34623
Exons: 6
Source: RefSeq, a predicted model, not a curated record